Molecule: long non-coding RNA, 1792 nt
Organism: Mus pahari (shrew mouse)
Lineage: Eukaryota; Metazoa; Chordata; Mammalia; Rodentia; Muridae
Exons: 5
Source: RefSeq, a predicted model, not a curated record
GCCCUGCUAUUACUGCCUCUGAAAUGAGCAGAGCCAGGGUCCAGAGAGGCAAAGCCAUAUGCUACUGGGCACCAGCUAAGCAGCGGCACUGAUGUCUCAUCCCAAGGCCACCAGAUUCCACAGUAGAGACUUUGGACCCCAACAUCCCAUCAGGCUGUCAACCAGUGGGUACCGAUCAUGUGACUCCUGUAGCAGCUGAGCUUUGAGCUUGUCUGACCACACACCAUGGAUGUCUUGUGCAUUGGCUGCAUCCGGGAGUAGGAGCAGCAGCAGAUGGAACAAGAGGCUGAGCUAACACAGCUGGGUCUUAUGCUGUCCCUUCAUGGGCUGCCUGUCUCCCAGGGAGAGAGUGUAUGUGGAGUCCUAAGGCCAGAGUGUGUGCAAGAGCCCAGAAUCUCAAGAUUGUCUGCUUACUGCUGGCUGGGCAAGCUCUCAACGCUUAAGUCAGUCUGUGGACCCAGCUGACCCAGAAGUCCUGACGCUCUAUCUAAUAGCCACCCAAGGGCUGGGAUUGCAGGGUCUGACUCCGAUCUGAAGCUCACCAGGCUGGCCUCGGACUCACCGAGAUCUGCCUGCCUGCCUUCUGAAUGCUGGAAUUAGAGGCAUGCGCCACCGAAACUGAGCAAGAGCUGUGACUGAAAUACAGUGGGUACUCAGUAAAGCCUGGAGUGGAGCAGCCAUCUUAAGGCCAGGAGGUAACAAUCACAAACCCAAGAAGCAAGCACAAGGGAAAGGCAGACGGAAAGGAUUUAAAAAAGAAAUACAGCCAAGCAGGUGUUUCCCCUACCAGGGCGCAGGAAACCAAGGGUCUCCAGGACCACGUCCCUCCCUCCCCUCCGAGGAGGCCCCUGACCAGCUGACGGAACAGCCUGUGCCUGGCACACACAUUACACAGCACGGGGGUCAGAACCGCGAUGGCUGGGGGAGAACAAUAGAUGACCUUCUCUCUAACGCCCUGGAACAGAGAACCCCACACAGAUGCUGUUUGUUUGGUUUAAAUCAGUUACCUUGGUCAUGGCGUCUCUUCAUAGGACACACCCCAUCUCCUCCCUGACCUGGCUACACACCCCAUCUCUUCCCUGACCUGGCUGUGGCCAUUCCCUCUCAGACUCUCAAGUCAAAGGUGUGGUCGCCUGAGAGCCACACUGCUGGUACCCUGAAGACUGGCUUCUGCCCUAAGUCUCUCCUGACCCUGUUCCAUGCAUUUGAGACCUUGGCACACGGGGAACAGGAAGUGUGUGCAUCUCCCUCAAACAGUGACAGUGACAGUUUACAGCCACAGUCUGAAUCUAGGCUCCUGCUUGUUCCUGCCAGGGGCUCUGCUGCUGGGCACAACCUGGACAACUGGACAGGGCAGACCAAUAAGGAACUUUCCAAAUGCCCCUGAGUUCCCAAUCUUGAUGACAUACAUUCUCAGGCAUUUAAACACCCCUGAGUGUCUGUCCACCGUGGAGCUUCGUGACCUUACCACAUCCCUGCAUACACUCUGGGGCUCCCUGGCUUCUCUUCCCUGGCCCCAUCACCCAGGGUCUUCUCCAUUAGCCCUGACCAUUGACACAUCAUUUUCCUCGCCCCUGUGGCAGGGGGCUCCUGACUUCCUCCCACAUCAGCUUUGCCCUUUCUGCAGUUCUGCUCCACACCCCACAGGAAACAGGGUCUCCUUGGACCCAGCAACCUCCAGACAAGACUAGGGAAUGAUGGAGACGUGGGGAUCCCAAGACUGGAGACGUGUACUCCUUGGCUGUGCACACGGAGGCCAGGAGGACAGACACCCUUGUCUGCCAUUAGCCAG